This 387-nucleotide ribosomal RNA is filed under the name Pseudo-nitzschia sp. RNAcentral's name for it is "SSU rRNA". It matches the Rfam family "Eukaryotic small subunit ribosomal RNA", at positions 587 to 975 of the family's 1831-position model. The record is from RNAcentral. Lineage: Eukaryota; Bacillariophyta; Bacillariophyceae; Bacillariales; Bacillariaceae.
AGCUCCAAUAGCGUAUAUUAAAGUUGUUGCAGUUAAAAAGCUCGUAGUUGGAUUUGUGGUGUGUCCAGUCGACCUUUGCUCUUUGAGUGAUUGUGUUGUACUGGUCUGCCAUGUUUGGGUGGAAUCUGUGUGGCAUUAAGUUGUCGUGCAGGGGAUGCCCAUCGUUUACUGUGAAAAAAUUAGAGUGUUCAAAGCAGGCUUAUGCCGUUGAAUAUAUUAGCAUGGAAUAAUGAUAUAGGACCUUGGUACUAUUUUGUUGGUUUGCGCACUAAGGUAAUGAUUAAGAGGGACAGUUGGGGGUAUUUGUAUUCCAUUGUCAGAGGUGAAAUUCUUGGAUUUUUGGAAGACAAACUACUGCGAAAGCAUUUACCAAGGAUGUUUUCAUUA